UGGGAAGUAUUGCACAAUGGGCGGAAGCCUGAUGCAGCGACGCCGCGUGGGGAUGACGGCCUUCGGGUUGUAAACCUCUUUCAGCACCGACGAAGCGUGAGUGACGGUAGGUGCAGAAGAAGCGCCGGCCAACUACGUGCCAGCAGCCGCGGUAAGACGUAGGGCGCGAGCGUUGUCCGGAUUUAUUGGGCGUAAAGAGCUCGUAGGCGGCUUGUUGCGUCGUCCGUGAAAACCCGUGGCUCAACUGCGGGCUUGCGGUCGAUACGGGCAGGCUGGAGUUCGGUAGGGAGGACUGGAAUUCCUGGUGUAGCGGUGAAAUGCGCAGAUAUCAGGAGGAACACCGGUGGCGAAGGCGGGUCUCUGGGCCGAUACUGACGCUGAGGAGCGAAAAGCGUGGGGAGCGAACA
RNAcentral lists this ribosomal RNA (407 nucleotides) under uncultured Micromonosporaceae bacterium. RNAcentral's name for it is "bacterial SSU rRNA". It matches the Rfam family "Bacterial small subunit ribosomal RNA", at positions 355 to 774 of the family's 1533-position model. Lineage: Bacteria; Bacillati; Actinomycetota; Actinomycetes; Micromonosporales; Micromonosporaceae. The record is from RNAcentral.